UUCUAUGCUGCACUCAAACUUGGGUAUAGGGCCUCACUCAUGAUAUGUACAAUAAUAAUAAUGAGAAUAAAAGCAUAUAAAUCAAUUACAAAAAUAAAUAAAGACAAUCAUACAUAUAAAUAAAAGGGAAAUAAAAUAAAAUAAAACAAAAUAAAAGCAAAAUAAAAUAAAAUAAAAUAAAGAAAAACCACAACAAUUUUUCACAUUUAAUUAAGAAGGUCUGAUUCUCUAGCUUCCCCAGUGGAGUCGCUAGCUGUCGC
Molecule: long non-coding RNA, 260 nt
Filed under: Vigna radiata
Lineage: Eukaryota; Viridiplantae; Streptophyta; Magnoliopsida; Fabales; Fabaceae
Description: long non-coding RNA (VRAD_LNC004856)
Source: RNAcentral